ACUGUCAUCAUAGAACCUUCAUCAAGUAACCAAUGGAAGCAGAUGCCAAGAUCCACAGCCAAGCAACAGGCCAUGCUCCAGGAGUUCAGUUGAAGAGAGUGAAGAGAGAUUCUGUGAACUAGGGCAUCAAGAUCAUGAUGGGGUAUUGGCAGCAAGGGGUAUAUUAGCCCAUGUUGGUAUGAAUAAAGAAAAGCUGCUUCCCUGACGAACUGAAACUGGGUGACUAGAGUGGUGUUUAACCUCUGCGUUCCUCGCCAGAUUUCGUGCUCCAGCUGUGCAGUUUGAAGCAAGUGGAGGUCACUACUGGGACCUGGAAAGAGGCGUAAGCGAACGAGGCUCACCCUAAAAGAAGGGGUGGGGAAUUGAAACAUUGCUUGAAUAAUUGCUGGAGUGCAAAUUGGUCCCAUGCAAUGAUUGUGAGAAUACCUGCAUUUGCAGUGAUGCCUCUGGAGAGUCCUUCUGAUCAGUUUCCACUGCAUCUGAAGAGGAGAAGAAGAGACUUUGGCAUUACUGCCGGAAUUGUUGCAGCUGUGGCUGCAUCUGCUGUUGCUGCUACAGCUGAUGGGCUUGCAUUAUCUCAGACUGUUCAACAGGCUGCCAUUAUCAACACAUUAUCUGAGAGGGUGGCUGGUGCCUUGGACAUUCAGCAAACAUUGAAUGG
Peromyscus maniculatus bairdii (prairie deer mouse) is the source of this 661-nucleotide non-coding RNA. NCBI's taxonomy places the organism in Eukaryota, Metazoa, Chordata, Mammalia, Rodentia, Cricetidae. The record is from RefSeq and is a predicted model, not a curated record.